UUACCCAGCAUUCCUUUCUCAUUUUUGACCCGAAAUAAGGGGAGGGGCAAAUCCCUAAUUCCCCUCUUCUUCUCCUUCUCUCCCAUCUCCGGCGGCAACCAUUGCUCGUGGGAGAGUGGCGGCAACUGCGAUGGGAAGGUGGCGACGGCGAUUCAAAGCUCGACUCGGAAGCAGCGGAAAUGGCAUUAAUGGGAAGCGAUGGCGAAAGUGACGUUUCCAGGCCGUUGCCACCUCUUCUCUUCUCCGCUGACGAUGGUGGGUGAUGGGCUUGAGAACAGCCGAGUCGCAAGGAUUCGGUAAUGAAUCCUUUCUCUAAUUUGUUGACAACUUGUUUAAAAAUGUGUUGCCGCUUGUAUUGAAUGGUAAGCUGAAUUUAAGGUACCGAAACCAUGUGUUUGUUGCUUCUGAUCCUUCGCCUUUUAUGCUGGUAAUGUUCUUCAAUUAUUGAUAGAUUGUCAUCCCUUUUCGGCUGCUCAAUGUCUUAUUUUAUGAUGGCUGCCCUCCUUUUGAGUAUCCCUUGAAUGCUUGUAUAUGUAGUGCUAUAGAUGUAUAUGUUCUGAUGCAGAUAUAGAUAGUUGAGGCGGAUUGUCUUUUUUGCGUGCAUGUGAUAGAUUUGUAGCCUCUUGAUUUCUCUUUUUGGAUUGUUGGUGACUGUGUUUGAGUAUGUGUAUGUUGUUCCCUUAUGUGUGUGUUGCUCCUGGAUUUGUUGCGGAUGGAUGUUUGAGAUAUUGUGUAUGAGAGAUUUUCUUUUUGGAUGGUUGUGUAUAUGAGAGGUGUUUAUCUCUAUUGUGUUUCUGAUUGUGUGGUGGGGAGGUAGAUGAGUGAUAUCUAUUUCUCCAUGCUCAUGUUUAAGAGUCUCUUGAGUUACUAAUUUAGAGUUAGGAGUAUUCAUGGCCUAUAAUUACCUUAAUUAUUCUGAUUUUAAUUCUUCUCAUCACUGCUUUGCUCUUUGCAACUGCACAAUAUAUCCCCUCAGUAUCCCUUUUUGUUAACAACCUAGUAUUUCCUUUGAUGUCAUCACAUUAAUGCUUUGAAGAGUAACUGUAUGAAAAAUAAUUCUGCAUAAUGCCUUGUAAUUGAAUUGAGGAGUACUGUUUCAUAUGCAUGACUUUUGAUUAGCACCUCUUAAUUGUCAUCCCUAGGUAUUUUGCUGAUUUGAUAUGGUUGAUUCUCUUUAUUCCUUCUUAAUGCUAUUUCAUUGAUGUAUCAAAGCAUAACUGAAAUGCUUUUGAUUUUUCUGCUUCUUUGGCUAAUUAAUUUUGUGACUCUUGAAGUAACCUUUUCGUAUCCAUAUUGGUUUUGUUGAGGUUAACUGUCUCCACUAACCCAUCUCAGUACCACUGAUGUUGAUGCAUAAUUCCGAGUUGGUGGAUCCAACAAGCUGGUUGUUGCGUUAUCGUAUUCAUCACAUUCAGAUGAACUCAUGAAUACUAUGGGGAUUAGCUAUCCCUUCUUAUUUCCCUGCUUAUUAGAUAUUGGAUCUUUCCAUCUUUGCAUUAUAAGUUUUCCUUGUCUGAUUUUAAUUGCAAACUUGUAGUCCUUACUUUACUUGACUUUACAUCGCUGUCGUGAGAUCUUGACAAUCAAUGUU
RNAcentral lists this small RNA (1591 nucleotides) under Lupinus albus (white lupine). RNAcentral's name for it is "hypothetical ncRNA". Lineage: Eukaryota; Viridiplantae; Streptophyta; Magnoliopsida; Fabales; Fabaceae. The record is from RNAcentral.